This 22-nucleotide microRNA is filed under the name Gallus gallus (chicken). RNAcentral's name for it is "gga-miR-762". Its record names the gene gga-miR-762. Lineage: Eukaryota; Metazoa; Chordata; Aves; Galliformes; Phasianidae. The record is from miRBase by way of RNAcentral.
GGGGCUUUGGGGAGGGAGGGGA